Molecule: long non-coding RNA, 4024 nt
Organism: Labeo rohita (rohu)
Lineage: Eukaryota; Metazoa; Chordata; Actinopteri; Cypriniformes; Cyprinidae
Exons: 9
Source: RefSeq, a predicted model, not a curated record
CUGAAAAGGUCUGCGAAACAAAACUAGUACACAACUUUUACUUUAACCUGCGGCAAACGUGUCAAAGUUUCGAGGGAAAAUCGCGGACUUGGCAACACAGCGCAUGUUUACGAAAUGCAGCGAAGUGGAACGUAAAAAACGAAUGGCGUUUAAAAAAUACGUAGGCGCGUUGCACGCUGUUAACGGAAACGCCUCAGGCGCACUGUCUAUAAAGCGGAAGCAAUUGCGUAAACAACAAAUAUCCGCCAUAAAACAAAUAAUAAUAAGACGAAACAACAAAUUAACGAAUGUCCAUAUGUUAGGAUUUGAUCAGCAGGUGUAAUGUCAGUUAAACAGCGAACUCCUGUUAACGGAGGAUUCCGUUAACGCUUAUGAGGAUUUAAUCACUGGAUCUGACGAAAUUUGCCAGAGAUCAAGAUAAGCCUCCGUUCUACACAAAAGUGCAUGUGGGUCGCAUGAAUAAUGGAUACGCGGCUUGAACUCCCGCUGAACUCCAGCUUUGUCAAAUGGAGAUCUACAGCAAACCUGCACGCCCAUUACACGUAUCCUGCACUGUGCUGAUGUGGCCGUUCAUUCAUCCGUUCUGGGUGUCUGUCACCGCUCUGGGCGCGGCCGAUCGGCUGACACACUCAAACAAGAAAAAAACAACCUCGUACUGGUUUGAUACAAUAUGAAGUGGGGAAGCUUAUCUGCAAUGGAGAGUGAGAUACGGCCCAGAGUCCCGUCGAGCACAAACUCGCAUUACAGACGCAAAGCAGCGUGGGAAACCUGGGGUUAAGCGUUGCACAAUGCAUCCUGGGACAUCCAUCUGUUUUGUGUCAACUCGCCCCAGCGACACACUGACGGUUGGGGGCUCGUCCAAACACAAACACCUCCUGACGCUCACGGAAGAAAUACCUUUCAUCUGAAGUCAUGCUGGCUGUUGUGUAACUCAAUGCGGGGCAAAGCGAAGAUGGCGAACGUCACCGCAGGUCAAAUUCCUGAGCUCGUAGUAAGACUGACGCAGGCCGUGGCGAGAGAAGCGUAUGGCGUAUAGAAGAGCUCAGCAGAAUCAGUAAACUUGUUUUGUCAUCACAAUCUUUUGGACACAUUCCAAGGCCCAUAAUUCAUUGCAACAAGCACAAUGACAACAAUGACAACAAAAAGAUGCCGUUUCACUAGCAGAGAAGAUUACGGGCUGCCGUCUGAACCGCAGCUCUCGUGACGUGGAAGAAGACCUGUAAUUGAGGAUCAAACUUUCUCUGCUUAAUUAUGCUGGUUUACAGUGGAUCCAUGUGGCUUUGACAGAUCUCACAUCUGGGUAAACAGAAGAAAGAAUGAGACGCUGGUGUGUUGUUUGCAGAAAGACGCUGUGGAAAAUGUUAAUGGAAGAUGGACCACUGAGGCAUCGGUCCAGACGCAGAGAGCACGAUAAUACGAUUAAGAAGAGAGGAAGGUAGAGAAGAUCUGUGUGCUUGAACAUUAGUGUUAUCAAAGCCUAAUGGCCAGAAGCGGCUUCAAAGAGAUGCUGUUGUUGUGCUGAAUGUUAGGAGAGCUGUGCCGUUUCUCUUCUGAGUGAUUUCAGGUGGGAAAAAAAGGAUAAAUACUAAAGGACAAGCCUGAGCUACGUUUUAUCUAAAAACAAGAAUAUCAUAGAGAAAACAGCCUAGCAACCACAUAGAAACAACCUGGCAACCACCAAGACCAUCUUAGAAGCCACCUAGCAGCCACCAAGGACAUUGUAGCAACCACAUAGCAAUACCCUGGCAAACAACAUCUUAUCAAUCACAUAGUAAUGCCCUGAAAACCACCAAGAACAUCUUAGCAACCACUUACAAAUAAUUUAGUAACACCUUGGCAACCCCCAUCUUAUUAACCACAUAGCAACGCCCUGGCAACUACCAAGAACAUCUUAGUAACUACAUAAAAACCACAAAACCACAUAGCAAUGCCUUGGCAACCACUGUCUUAGAAACCCCACAGCAAUGCCUUGGAAAUCACCAAGAUCAUCUUAGCAACCACCAAUAACAUCUUAGCAACUAAACGGCAAUGUCCUGACAACCUGCAUUUUAUUCACUACAUAGAAAUGUCCUGGCAACCACCAUCUUAGAAAUCGCAAAACAAGGCCCUGGCAACCACAAAGAUCACUUUAGCAAUCAAAUAGCAACACCCUGGCAACCACAAGAACAUCUUAGCCACUAAACAGCAAUGCCUUGGCAACCCCCAACUUAUCAACCACAUAGCAACACCUAGGCAACCAUCAAGGACAUCUUAGCAACCAAACUGCAGUGCCCUGGCAACCACCAUCUUUGAAACAACAUAGCAACGCCCUGGAAACCACCAAGAACAGCUUAACAACCAAACAGCAACACCCUGGCAACCACAAGAACAUCUUAGCAACUAAACAGAAAUGCACCGGCAACCCCCAACUUAUCAGCCACAUAGCAACACCCUGGCAGCCAUCAAGGGCAUCUUAGCAACCAAAUGGCAAUGCCCUGGCAACCACCAUCUUUGAAGUGAUGUAGCACGCCUUGGCAACCACCAAGAACAUCUUAACAACCAAAUAGCAACAGCCUGGCAACCACAAAAACAUCUUAGCAACUAAACAGCAAUGCCCUGGCAACCCCCAACUUAUCAACCACAUAGCAACACCCUGGCAACCACAAAGAUUAUCUUAACACCUUGGCAACCCCCAUCUUAGCAACCACAUAACUAUGCCCUGGCAACCACCAAAACAUCUUAGUAACCAAAAAGAAAUGCCCUGGCAGCCACCAUCUUUGAAACAACAUAGCAAUGCCCUGACAACCACCAAGAACAUCUUAACAACCAAAUAGCAACACCCUGGCAACCACAAAGAUUAUCUUAGCAACCACAUAGUAACACCAUGUCAGCCACCAUUUUAGAAACCUCAUAGCAACGCCCUGGAAACCACCAAGAACAUCCUAACAAACACCUAGCAAUGACCUAGCAACCACCUAGGACAUCUUGGCAACCAAAUAGCAACACCCUGGCAACCACCAUCUUAGCAACCUCAUAGUACCGCCCUGGGAACCAACAAGAACUUCUUAACAACCACAUAGCAACUCCCUGGCAACCAGCAAGAUCAUCUUAGCAACCAAACAGCAACAUUCUGGCAACGACCAUCUUAGAAACCCCAUAGCAACACCCUGGAAACCACCAAAAAUAUCUUAACAACCACCUAGCAAUGCCCAGCAACCACUAAGGGCAUCUUGGCAACCAAAUAGCAACACCCUGGCAACCACCAUUUUAGCAACCUCAUAUUACCGCCCUGGAAACCAUCAAGAACAUCUUAACAGCCACAUAGCAACGCCCUGGCAACCACAAACAGCACCCUGUCAUUGUGGCAGUGAGUUUUGAACAGGCAAACAUCACUCACAUUUUCUUUUCAAUAUAAAAAUCUAUUUAGAAGUUCUUUUCAUUAAAGACAAAAGUCCAGCUGCUUUCCUUUGCAGAAAACUGCUGAAUGACUUUCAGACGUCUAGCACAUGUAGGCCUGUUGUUAGUGGAUCUGUUUUGGUCUCUUGAGUGUAUGAGUGUGUGUGUGUGUGUGUGUGUGUGUGUGUGUGUUCAGGAUUCACUGCACUCCAAAGUAUUUUUGCACUUGCGUUCUUCCCGUAAAAGCAGGCAGGCUGCCACAUGCUCGCACGCCCCAUCCACAUGAUCUGAGAGAGAGAGAGAGAGACAGGAGGGGGAGGCUCUUAAUGCAGUGAGUCAGCACUCCAGACUCCAUUUCAUCUCCAUCCUGACCGACCAACACGGCUUAACCCUUUCCUACCUCCCCUCCGCUUCACUAGCAGCUUUUAAUGACCUCAAUACAGGAAGCAGAGACUUAGAUCAUCACAUAAAUUCGGCAAGGAUGCAUUAAAUGAAUCAAAAGUGACAGUAAAGACAUUUAUGAUGUUACAAAGGAUUUCUAUUUCAAAUAAAUGCUGUUCUUUUGAAUGAUCCAUUUAUCAAGAAUCCUAAAAAAUAAAAUGUAUCAGUUUAAAUAAAAAUAUGAAGCAGCGCAACUGUUUCCAACAUU